CGCUGGCGGCGUGCCUAAUACAUGCAAGUCGAGCGAAGUUUUUCUGGUGCUUGCACUAGAAAAACUUAGCGGCGAACGGGUGAGUAACACGUAAAGAACCUGCCUCAUAGACUGGGACAACUAUUGGAAACGAUAGCUAAUACCGGAUAACAGUAUUUCUCGCAUGAGAGAUAUUUAAAAGUUGGUUAUGCUAACACUAUGAGAUGGCUUUGCGGUGCAUUAGCUAGUUGGUGGGGUAAAGGCCCACCAAGGCGACGAUGCAUAGCCGACCUGAGAGGGUGAUCGGCCACACUGGGACUGAGACACGGCCCAGACUCCUACGGGAGGCAGCAGUAGGGAAUCUUCCGCAAUGGGCGAAAGCCUGACGGAGCAACGCCGCGUGAGUGAAGAAGGAUUUCGGUUCGUAAAGCUCUGUUGUUAGGGAAGAAUGGAUACGUAGUAACUAUCCAU
RNAcentral lists this ribosomal RNA (450 nucleotides) under Gemella morbillorum. RNAcentral describes it as "bacterial SSU rRNA". It matches the Rfam family "Bacterial small subunit ribosomal RNA", at positions 34 to 471 of the family's 1533-position model. Lineage: Bacteria; Bacillati; Bacillota; Bacilli; Caryophanales; Gemellaceae. The record is from RNAcentral.